UACAGAGGUCUCAAGCGUUGUUCGGAUUCAUUGGGCGUAAAGGGUGCGUAGGCGGCGCGGUAAGUCGGGUGUGAAAUCUCGGGGCUUAACUCCGAAACUGCAUUCGAUACUACCGUGCUUGAGGACUGGAGAGGAGACUGGAAUUUACGGUGUAGCGGUGAAAUGCGUAGAUAUCGAGAGGAACACCUGCGGCGAAGGCGGGUUGCUGGGCUGAUACUGACGCUGAGGCGCGAAAGCUAAGGGAGCGAACGGG
Molecule: ribosomal RNA, 253 nt
Filed under: uncultured bacterium
Lineage: Bacteria
Description: partial 16S ribosomal RNA
Rfam family: Bacterial small subunit ribosomal RNA
Source: RNAcentral